GAAGAUAAAUUAUGAAAAAAAAUUGAGAGAAAAUAUUAAAUAUGGUAAUUAGCAAUUCUGAUAAUAAUUUGGAUAGUAAUAAAAAAAUUGGAAUAAUUAAGAAUCACAAGUUUAAGGCGAUUUUGUUAAAAGAUUUGAGUCUGGUUGUACUAUAAAUAAAAAAAUCAUUAGACAUUUAGGCGUUAAAAAACUAAAAACAAAAAGAAAAAUAAAAGAAGAUUACCGUUUCCCAAAUUUUCGUC
This 242-nucleotide long non-coding RNA is filed under the name Linum usitatissimum (flax). RNAcentral describes it as "long non-coding RNA (LUSI_LNC002967)". Lineage: Eukaryota; Viridiplantae; Streptophyta; Magnoliopsida; Malpighiales; Linaceae. The record is from RNAcentral.